CUACCUCACCUCGCUCAUCAACGCAUCCUUGACCGCUGGCUACGUCCCUUCCGUCUUCAAGAGAGCGAGAGUUGCACCCCUUCUGAAAAAACCUACACUCGAUCCCUCCGAUGUCAACAACUACAGACCUAUCUGCUGCCUUUGAUACCGUGAACCAUCAGAUCCUCCUCUCCACCCUCUCCGAGCUGGGCAUCUCCGGCACCGCGCACGCUUGGAUUGCGUCCUACCUGACAGGUCGCUCCUACCAGGUGGCGAAUCGCAUCUCUGCAUGUCUGGCAGACAUAUCAGUGUGGAUGACGGAUCACCACCUCAAGCUGAACCUCGGCAAGACGGAGCUGCUCUUCCUCCCGGGGAAGGACUGCCCGUUCCAUGAUCUCGCCAUCACGGUUGACAACUCCCUUGUGUCCUCCUCCCAGAGUGCUAAGAGCCUUGGCGUGACCCUGGACAACACCCUGUCGUUCUCCACCAACAUCAAGGCGGUGACCCGAUC
Molecule: long non-coding RNA, 490 nt
Filed under: Salmo salar (Atlantic salmon)
Lineage: Eukaryota; Metazoa; Chordata; Actinopteri; Salmoniformes; Salmonidae
Description: lncRNA (ENSSSAG00000111740.1)
Source: RNAcentral